UAUUCUGAAAUACUUUCUCAAAUCACUUCAUUAGUUUAGAUUAUGGGUUAUUUCAUUCCUUUAUUUCAGUAUCAGGAUAAUUUUCAUAACUGAGGAGAUGGACACAAACAUGAGACAGCCCAGGCUGUUUAUCUUGAAACUUCAGUCACAAGAACUUUCACUUUCCAAGUCAUGAUCAGAAGCAGCCUUCCCCAAGAGCUGCUGUCCUGUUCCCCACAGAGCUCAGA
This 227-nucleotide long non-coding RNA is filed under the name Chrysemys picta bellii (western painted turtle). RNAcentral's name for it is "lncRNA (ENSCPBG00000024575.1)". The record is from RNAcentral. Lineage: Eukaryota; Metazoa; Chordata; Testudines; Emydidae.